Molecule: ribosomal RNA, 465 nt
Filed under: uncultured bacterium
Lineage: Bacteria
Description: partial 16S ribosomal RNA
Rfam family: Bacterial small subunit ribosomal RNA
Source: RNAcentral
GAUGAACGCUGGCGGCGUGCUUAACACAUGCAAGUCGAACGGAAAGGCCCAAGCUUGCUUGGGUACUCGAGUGGCGAACGGGUGAGUAACACGUGGGUGAUCUGCCCUGCACUUCGGGAUAAGCCUGGGAAACUGGGUCUAAUACCGGAUAGGACCACAUUUUGGAUGGUGUGGUGGAAAGUUUUUCGGUGUGGGAUGAGCUCGCGGCCUAUCAUCUUGUUGGUGGGGUAAUGGCCUACCAAGGCGUCGACGGGUAGCCGGCCUGAGAGGGUGUACGGCCACAUUGGGACUGAGAUACGGCCCAGACUCCUACGGGAGGCAGCAGUGGGGAAUAUUGCACAAUGGGCGCAAGCCUGAUGCAGCGACGCCGCGUGGGGGAUGACGGCCUUCGGGUUGUAAACUCCUUUCGCUAGGGACGAAGCGCAAGUGACGGUACCUGGAGAAGAAGCACCGGCUAACUACGUG